Molecule: ribosomal RNA, 253 nt
Filed under: uncultured bacterium
Lineage: Bacteria
Description: partial 16S ribosomal RNA
Rfam family: Bacterial small subunit ribosomal RNA
Source: RNAcentral
UACGUAGGGUGCAAGCGUUAUCCGGAAUCAUUGGGCGUAAAGCGAGCGCAGGCGGAUCAGCAAGUCAGAUGUAAAAUCUCGAGGCUCAACCUCGAAACUGCGUCUGAAACUGCUAGUCUAGAAUGUCGGAGGGGAUAGGGGAAUUUCACGUGUAGGGGUAAAAUCCGUAGAGAUGUGAAGGAACACCGGAGGCGAAGGCGCCUAUCUGGACGACUAUUGACGCUGAGGCUCGAAAGCGUGGGGAGCAAACAGG